RNAcentral lists this ribosomal RNA (269 nucleotides) under uncultured prokaryote. RNAcentral's name for it is "partial 16S ribosomal RNA". It matches the Rfam family "Bacterial small subunit ribosomal RNA", at positions 524 to 792 of the family's 1533-position model. The record is from RNAcentral.
UACGAAGGGCCCGAGCGUUAAUCGGAAUCACUGGGCUUAAAGCGUGCGUAGGCGGGUCGGAAAGUACUUUGUGAAAUCCCUCGGCUCAACCGAGGAACUGCUUGGUAUACUACCGAUCUUGAGCAUGGUAGGGGCGGUCGGAACGAUAGGUGGAGCGGUGAAAUGCGUAGAUAUCUAUCGGAACGCCGAAGGUGAAGACAGGCCGCUGGGCCAUUGCUGACGCUGAGGCACGAAAGCGUGGGGAGCGAACGGGAUUAGAUACCCGCGUA